AUUGAACGCUGGCGGCAUGCUUUACACAUGCAAGUCGAACGGUAACAGGCCUUCGGGUGCUGACGAGUGGCGAACGGGUGCGUAAUGCAUCGGAACGUACCCAGAGGUGGGGGAUAACGCAGCGAAAGCUGUGCUAAUACCGCAUGUGAUCUGAGGCUGACAGCGGGGGACCGCGCAGCAAUGUUUGGCCUCGCGCCUUUGGAGCGGCCGAUGUCGGAUUAGCUAGUUGGUGGGGUAAAGGCCUACCAAGGCGACGAUCCGUAGCUGGUCUGAGAGGACGACCAGCCACACUGGAACUGAGACACGGCCCAGACUCCUACGGGAGGCAGCAGUGGGGAAUUUUGGACAAUGGGCGCAAGCCUGAUCCAGCAAUGCCGCGUGCGGGAAGAAGGCCUUCGGGUUGUAAACCGCUUUUGGCAGGAACGAAACGGUGUCCGCUAAUACCGGGCGCUAAUGACGGUACCUGCAGAAUAAGCACCGGCUAACUACGUG
This 492-nucleotide ribosomal RNA is filed under the name uncultured bacterium. Its description in RNAcentral is "partial 16S ribosomal RNA". It matches the Rfam family "Bacterial small subunit ribosomal RNA", at positions 29 to 507 of the family's 1533-position model. The record is from RNAcentral.